CAUUUCUCAAGUAUGACUACUGGAUUCCUUUGUUGCCACUCAAAAAUGAACUGCUGUCAAACUGGGUUAAUGCUGCCAAUGGCAAGCUGGUUUUGGGCGCCAGAUGUGUUCUCUUCCAAUGAAGUUUAGGAUGUUGCCAUAUAAAGCUGCUCUUUUUACACUUCCUGAUAUUUCAUCAUUAUCCUCCUCACUUCAAAAUCAGGGAAAGAUACUCUGGUUGUUCCCUUCUUUGGACAUGUGACAAGUUUCGCUUCCUGGCCUUCUGAUGGUUACACUGGAUCCCGGGUCCAAUUCUGGCCAGUGAGAUAUGAUGGUGUCACUGAUGAGAAAUCCUCUAGCA
Molecule: long non-coding RNA, 340 nt
Filed under: Aotus nancymaae (Ma's night monkey)
Lineage: Eukaryota; Metazoa; Chordata; Mammalia; Primates; Aotidae
Description: lncRNA (ENSANAG00000038996.1)
Source: RNAcentral